UUUUAUGGAAAAAAAUGAGAAAGUUGG
This 27-nucleotide non-coding RNA is filed under the name Cricetulus griseus (Chinese hamster). Lineage: Eukaryota; Metazoa; Chordata; Mammalia; Rodentia; Cricetidae. The record is from RNAcentral.